AACGAACGCUGGCGGCAGGCUUAACACAUGCAAGUCGAGCGCCCUGCUUGCAGGGAGCGGCAGACGGGUGAGUAACGCGUGGGAAUCUACCCAGCUCUACGGAAUAACACAUGGAAACGUGUGCUAAUACCGUAUACGUCCUUCGGGAGAAAGAUUUAUCGGAGUUGGAUGAGCCCGCGUUAGAUUAGCUAGUUGGUGGGGUAAUGGCCUACCAAGGCGACGAUCUAUAGCUGGUCUGAGAGGAUGAUCAGCCACACUGGGACUGAGACACGGCCCAGACUCCUACGGGAGGCAGCAGUGGGGAAUAUUGGACAAUGGGCGCAAGCCUGAUCCAGCCAUGCCGCGUGAGUGAUGAAGGCCUUAGGGUUGUAAAGCUCUUUCAACGGUGAAGAUAAUGACGGUAACCGUAGAAGAAGCCCCGGCUAACUUCG
RNAcentral lists this ribosomal RNA (431 nucleotides) under uncultured Phyllobacteriaceae bacterium. RNAcentral describes it as "bacterial SSU rRNA". It matches the Rfam family "Bacterial small subunit ribosomal RNA", at positions 29 to 505 of the family's 1533-position model. The record is from RNAcentral. Lineage: Bacteria; Pseudomonadati; Pseudomonadota; Alphaproteobacteria; Hyphomicrobiales; Phyllobacteriaceae.